GUAGGUGGCAAGCGUUGUCCGGAAUUAUUGGGCGUAAAGCGCGCGCAGGCGGUUCUUUAAGUCUGAUGUGAAAGCCCACGGCUCAACCGUGGAGGGUCAUUGGAAACUGGAGAACUUGAGUACAGAAGAGGAAAGCGGAAUUCCACGUGUAGCGGUGAGAUGCGUAGAGAUGUGGAGGAACACCAGCGGCGAAGGCGGCUUUCUGGUCUGUAACUGACGCUGAGGCGCGAAAGCGUGGGGGAGCAAACAGGAUUAGAUACCCGUGGUAGUCCACGCCGUAAACGAUGAGUGCUAAGUGGUUACGGGGGUUUCCGCCCUUAGUGCUGCAAGCUAACGCAUUAAGCACGUCCGCCGUGGGAGUACGGCCGCAAGGCUAG
Molecule: ribosomal RNA, 377 nt
Filed under: uncultured organism
Description: partial 16S ribosomal RNA
Rfam family: Bacterial small subunit ribosomal RNA
Source: RNAcentral